GACGAACGCUGGCGGCGUGCCUAAUACAUGCAAGUCGAACGCAGUGGGGACGGUUGAGUAACACGUGGGUAACCUCCCAUCAGAGGGGAUAACACUUGGAAACUGGUGCUAAACCGAUACUGAUGGAUGGACCCGCGGGGCAUUAGCUAGUUGGUGGGGAAACGGCUCACCAAGGCCACGAUGCAUAGCCGAUCUGAGAGGGUGAUCGGCCACACUGGGACUGAGACACGGCCCAGACUCCUACGGGAGGCAGCAGUGGGGAAUCUUCGGCAAUGGACGAAAGUCUGACCGAGCCACGCCGCGUGAGUGAAGAAGGUUUUCGGAUCGUAAAACUCUGUUGUUAGAGAAGCGGUAUUUACCCAGAAAGCCACGGCUAACUACGUGCCAGCAGCCGCGGUAAUAC
This 403-nucleotide ribosomal RNA is filed under the name uncultured bacterium. RNAcentral's name for it is "partial 16S ribosomal RNA". It matches the Rfam family "Bacterial small subunit ribosomal RNA", at positions 28 to 526 of the family's 1533-position model. The record is from RNAcentral.